This is a long non-coding RNA of Gasterosteus aculeatus aculeatus (three-spined stickleback), 4029 nucleotides long. The record is from Ensembl. Lineage: Eukaryota; Metazoa; Chordata; Actinopteri; Perciformes; Gasterosteidae.
AGAGCGGCGUAGGCCUACGCCUUCUUUUGUGCGUACGCAACGUUUAUAAAUGAGGCCCCUGGUCCUUAUAUAGAAAAACUUCACACAUGGAAGGAUCGAAGCUUCCUCAGGAAAAGGAGACGACUGAUCCCCUUCCUGUAGACAGCGUUGAUGUUGGUCUUCCAGUUCAGUCUGUUGUCGAUGGAGACAUCCAGGUACUCAACCAUUACCACAUCCUCUCCCAGAACCCUCAGCGGUAGCGGAGCCGUCGUCUUCCUCCCGAAGUCGACCACCAUCUCUCUCUGGUCUUGGCCACGUUCAGGCGCAGGUGAUUUCUUCCCGCCCACACCACAAAGUCCUCCACUACUGCCCUGUACUCCUCCUCCCGUCCAUCCCUUAUACACCCUACCACUGCAGAGUCAUCAGAGAAUUUCUGCAGAUGCCAGGACUAUACUGGAAGUCAGUGGUAUAUAAGGUGAACAGGAAGGGAGACCAAACAGUUCCCUGUGGAGCUCCAGUACCACUGACCACCGUAUCAGACAGCACACUGCCCAGUCGAACAAAUGAUGCCUCCUUCCCUGACGAGCUUAACAGCUUUUAUGCACGCUUCGACAAGGACAACAGGAGGCUGCCAUCAAGGCUGCGCUCACUUUAGACCACCAGCCCCCCACACUCUCCUCCACCGAAGUGUGUGCUGCGCUGAGCAGGAUUAAUGCACGUAAGGCUGCUGGCCCUGAUGGCGUCCCCGGACGCGUGCUCAGGGCCUGUGCUGGGCAGCUUUCUGAGGUCUUGACUGACAUAUUCAACCUGUCACUAGCCCAAGCUACUGUCCCCACGUGCUUUAAAACCACCUCUAUCAUGCCAGUGCCAAAGCACUCCACCGCAGUGAGCCUAAAUGACUUCCGCCCAGUUGCACUCACUCCAACCAUCAUGAAGUGCUUCGAGAGGCUGGUCCUGGCUCACCUCAAAACCUGCUUACCACCCACACUGGACCCCUUCCAAUUCACCUACCGCAACAGGAGUACGGAGGAUGCCAUCUCCACGGCAUUACACUCCGCCCUUUCUCACCUGGACAAUAACAACAGCUGUGUGAGGAUGCUGUUCAUAGACUUCAGUUCAGCUUUCAACACUUUCAUCCCCUCCAAACUAAUCACAAAACUCAGUCACCUGGGUAUCAACACUUCCCUCUGUAACGGGAUACUGGACUUCCUAUCCAACAGACCCCAGUCUGUUAGGGUAGAGAACCACACCUCCUCAACCCUCAUCCUGAACACCGGCGUGCCACAGGGCUGUGUGCUAAGUCCUCUCCUCUACUCCCUCUUCACCUACGACUGCACACCUGUACACUGUUCUAAUACCCUUGUCAAGUUUGCAGACGACACAACGGUGAUUGGCCUCAUCAGUGACAAUGAUGAGUCGGCCUACAGAGAGGAGAUCCAGCCCCUGGCGGUAUGGUACGCCGUCAACAACCUGGCUCUCAACACCAAGAAGACCAAAGAGCUAAUUGUGGACUUCAGGUAGAAAACUGGCACACACAUCCCCAUCCACAUCAACGGGAUGGAGGUUGAGCGUGUCGCCAGCUUCAAGUUCCUGGGUGUCCACAUCUCUGAGGACCUCUCUUGGACCCUCAACACCUCAUCCCUGGUAAAGAAAGCACACCAGCGUCUCUUCUUCCUGAGGAGACUGAAGAAGGCCCAUCUCCUCAGAUUCUAGAGAAUUCUAGAGAAUUUCUACCGCUGUACCAUAGAGAGCAUCCUUACAAACUGCAUCUCAGUAUGGGUACGGGCAGCUGCUCUGUCGCGGACCGUAAAUCACUGCAGAGGGUGGUGAAAACUGCCCAACGCAUCACCGGUUCCUCACUCCCCACCAUUGAGGCUGUCCAGAGCAAGAGAUGUCUGCGGAGGGCACGCAGCUCUCACCCCAGCCACAGACUGUUUGCCCUCCUCCCCUCUGGGAGGCGCUACAGGGUGCUCCGUUCCCAGACCAGCAGGUUCAGGAACAGCUUCAUUCCUGCGGCUGUCACUCUACUGAACUCUGCCCCCCACCCCCACAUACAUCUCCCUCAGUGACUACUUCCCCCCUCCACCCUGGCUUGACUGCCACACCCUCCUCCAGCCACUGAACAUUUGCACUGUUAUUGCAUGUCCAUUUCUUACUGUUCAUAUUGCACAAUAUUUCUUACUGUACAUCUAUUUAUUCACUUAUUACACUGUACAUAUGCACAGACUCUGCACUUUUUCCUAUUUUGCACUUCUGGUUGGAUGUUAAACUGCAUUUCGUUGCCUCAGUACUUGUACCCUGUGCAAUGACAAUAAAGUUGAAUCUAAUCUAAAAAAUAAAUAAAACUGUGGCCUGCCUGUCAGGUAGUCAGUGAUCCAGGAGACGGUGGACGAGUCCACCCCCACCACCCGCAGCUUCUCACUCAGUAGCAGUGGUUGGAUGGUGUUGAAGGCACUGGUGAAAUAAAAGAAAGUUAUUCUCACAGACCCACCCUUUCCAUCCAGGUGCGACUGAGCUCGUUGCAGCAGGUAGAUGAUGGCGUCAUCCACCCCCACACGAGGCUGGUAUGCAAACUGCAGCGGGUCAAGUGAAGAUUUCACCUGCGGCCUGAGGCGGGCCAAGACCAGCCUCUCCAGCACCUUCAUAACAUGGGAUGUGAGGGCGACCGGUCGAUUGUCGCUGCUUCAUGCUCGGGUUGAAGGACCUCAGCCAGCUGGAAAGCACAGGUCUUCAGGACCCUGGGGCUGAUGCCCUCAGGUCUUGCGUUGGUGGAGUCUCCUCAACUGUCUCCGAACCUGGUCAGUCGUCACCGAGAGGGGGGCGGGGGGGGGGGGGGGGGGUUACGGUGUCAGUGAGGGAAGGGCCCUUUGAAGUGGCCUCACAGUCCAAGCUGCUCACCAGGGGAGAUAGAGGGGGGAGGGUGGACGGCAGCAGAGGUGUGGGGGGUGGAGGAGCCCUUUGAAGUUGGGGGCUCUGUGUCCAUGCAGCUCACCAGAGGGCACCGGGGGGAGGGGGGAAGUCAGCUGAGGUGUUUGGGAGGUGAGGUGUGAGGAGGAGACAGAUGAGGGCUGUGAGCUGAACCUGUUGAAGAAGCAGUUCAGCUCAUUUGCCCUCUCCAGGGAGCCCCCUGGUUGACUCUGUCUUCCCUUGAAGCCUAAGAUCUCUUUCAUGCCGGACCACACCUCCCUCACGUUGUUCUGCUGGAGUUUGGCCUCCAGCUUCCUCCUAGAAGAGUUCUUACACUCCCUGAUCUUCACCUUCAGGUCGCGCUGAACUCUCCUGAGUUCCUCCCUGUCCCCAGACUUGAAAGCUGCUUUCUUCUUAACUGGAUGUAUUCUGUGACACAGUCCGUUAAGUUGUUGAUGUCCUCCCCAUGUGGUCCACACAGCACAUUCCAGUCUGUGGACUCAAAGCAGUCCUGCAGUGCCUCAUUAGCCUCCUGUGACUCACAGACCUGGUGGUCACAGGCUGCCUCUGCCAGAGGAACAUAACUUGGAGUCAGCAGGACCAGGUUGUGAUCCGACCUGCCAAGCAGGGGAAGGGCGGUAGCACUGUAUGCAUCCAUGGCAUUAGCAUACAGCAAGUUUUAUUGUUCCGUGUGGGGCAGUCAACAUACCGGUGCAGAGUUGGCAGAGCUUUAUCCAGAGUGAUGUGGUUAAAGUCUCCUGUAACGGCCAAAAAUGCACCGGGAUGCUGGUUUGAUCGACAGAUACAGUUGAGUAUCGUCUGCAUAACAAUGGAAGUUUAUGCGGUGUUUUCUGAUAAGAUCGCCCAAAGGAAGCAUAUAGAGGGUAAAUAAAAUCGGUCCAAGUACAGAACCUUGUGGGACUCCGUGACCAUCUAUGGUAUCAAAUGCGGCCCUGAGGUCCAGCAAGACAAGAAAAGAGAUGAGUCCUUGAUCCAAUGCAAGUAGAAGAUUAUUCGGAAUUUUCACCAGUGCUGUUUCUAUGCUAUGAUGCACUCGAAAUCCUGACUGGAAAUCCCCGAACAAAGCAUUGUUUUGUAGAAAGUCACAUAAUUGAUUUGCAACAGAUUUCUCAAGGAUCUUAG